Molecule: non-coding RNA, 21 nt
Filed under: Arabidopsis thaliana (thale cress)
Lineage: Eukaryota; Viridiplantae; Streptophyta; Magnoliopsida; Brassicales; Brassicaceae
Source: RNAcentral
UUGGAUCCCGCCUUGCAUCAA